GGUUGAUGCAGAAGAUCCACUUUUUCUCUUGUACACCAGUGGUAGCACUGGGAAACCAAAGGGUGUUUUGCACACAAGCGGGGGUUAUAUGGUUUACACUGCAACCACAUUUAAAUAUGCCUUUGACUACAAACCAUCGGAUAUAUAUUGGUGUACUGCAGACUGUGGUUGGAUUACUGGACACAGCUAUGUUACAUAUGGUCCUCUUCUAAAUGGAGCUAGUGUCGUG
Molecule: unclassified non-coding RNA, 229 nt
Filed under: Hevea brasiliensis (rubber tree)
Lineage: Eukaryota; Viridiplantae; Streptophyta; Magnoliopsida; Malpighiales; Euphorbiaceae
Source: RNAcentral